UACAUCAAGUAAAUAGAUCACGCCCGAAUACUAUGACUCUGAGUCUGGGGAGAGAUCUUGAUAAGAUCGAGAAUGAUGAAAAAUUUACCUUCGUCUGCUGGCUCAUCAUUCUCUUCUGCUUCGUCCAGGUCCAAAACAUCAGCAUCACUAUCAUCUGACGACUGGUAGUCUUCAUUAUCACUAGCAGCCUCAAAACCAUCAUCACCGCUAUCAUUAUCGGUGAAAAUUUCGUCGAGAACUUGACGCGUUGUUAGCAUACGUUGCGUGCGAUCAGCCAUGGCUGGGAGCUAGAGUGAAAGGCAGCGAGAGUGAAACGCUAGAACUGUGAAGAAGGACUGACGCUAUAAUUCCCGCUAUUUCGGUUAUUAUUGGUCUAAUUAGGGCAAAUAAAAGCUUCUCUAACUCGGGAAGAAAAGAGCUUUCAGGGGAGCCCACUCUCGAUACUAUAUUGCAAUUACCGGCUGAGAAGGAAACGAAACAAAACAGCGAUAUCGCCGGGCGUACACUGUACGCCCACAGCGCAUAGGAGGGCCCGAUUUAUGGACGUACACCGUACGCCGAGCAGCAGUGAAGCGGUUAAGACAAUCUCUUCUUGUCUUAACUGGAGUUGUCACCACAGAUGUAAAUGGCAAUUCAGCCCCUGAUGGUCUCACUGGUGAACGUGGGGGAGAUGACGCUGAAACUGUAGACACAUGUGGAAAUUCGAAUUUUUCACGAAUAAAAUUGUGUAGUCUCACUAUUCUGUUUCACUCGUUUUAUCAAAAAACGAAACUGAUCUAAAACAUGUUAAACUUUGGCCUUAAUCCGAGGCACGGAAACAUUGUCUUUGAAGAAGUUGACUACCAGAUAAUCACUACAACACCACUUUUUUCCUUCCACUUGCUCAAGUGAACUUAUUAAAAACGUGUAUCACAGUUGCAUUUAAACACUUGGAGGUGUCACUAGCUAUGGCAGCUACUUGGUCCUUAACUUCUUGGACGGACUUGAAGCUCAUCUUGGUCAAACCAUCUGAAAUUGAGGGGGAAAAAAUUUGAUAAAAAUGCAAAGCUUAUUAUAAGCAAAAAAGUCCAGAGUCAUCUCUAUGAAAUGAUCCUAACUAAUGACAGGAAUUUGGGGUUUGACUCUUACAUUAUAAACUAUAACGACGUGGGAAAGUGAAAAACUGAUGUAUAAAGUCUCCUAAUUUAUCAUAAGCUUUCCAACAAUCUGAAAUAAUAACUGAGCCUUUCCUAAUGUACUUUUCUGUAAUAGGGACUAAAGUGUCUACUGACCUAACCUCUAUCGCUACAAAAAAAACCCAGUUGUCUGUAUUGUCUUUCUCUAUACCUCCAAAACCCAAACUCCAUCUAUGUGCUUGCCUCUAUGAAAUUUCCUCUUCCCAAACUUGCUCUCGUCUAUUUCUACAACACCACCGUCACCACCAAUCUGACUAAACCUAUCCUCAUUGUCCAAAAUGUCUAUACAGGCGUUUCUGCAAAAAUUAAACCAGUCCACUGUGGCAUCAUGUCACUCCAGGUAGCAGCGGAUUUCCGUCUCUAAUUUCACUAUUCUGGGCACAGCAGUUUGUUUGCCUUUAAAUGCUUGAUCAAACGGUGUCAGAGCUUCAACUUUUUUUGCAGGUGGGGAGCUAUUGCGUCUUCCUCGCUUGUUGUUGCUUGUCCUGGUGGCUAUGGCAGCGUCAUGGACUUGGUCAGUUUGUUCAAAGCAGAGUUGGAUGGUGAAGCUGUUGGGAAGCCCAGCUCCCUUAAACCUGGGGUCCAAAAGUGUAGCUAGCCUCAGAUGUGUCUUCUCAUCGAUGCCUUUAAAAAUGUAGGUUCAGCUGAAAGUUGAGGUAGUUGCUUUGCAAGGGCAGCUUGUCCUGGGCUGUGAACCUGCUCAACGGGAAUACAAUUGGAAUGAUCUUUGCAACAGAGAGGUGUUUUGUUCUGUUGAAAUCUCUACUAUUGCCUCAUAAAAGGGCUCCAAGGUCUCCAUUGUCUUCUGUAACAGUGACAGCUUGAUGGGGCACCGGCACUUGUUUUGCUUGCCACUCAGACAUAGGGCUGCGGUCACCUGCUCGUGCUGCUCCAAAUAAGACUUGAAUAUCUCGAAGGUACUAUUCCAAUGAGUUUCCACAUCCUGGUGUAAUUUCUUUGGUGUCGUAUUUUUGCCUUGAAGGCUUCUUUCAGUGAGUUUCUCACAUUGACACUAGUGGAAAAAAGAAACAAUGUCUUGCACGCACAAGCACAUCAUCCGUCUUUCUGAUGGAUUCUUUGACAACCAGGUGGAGGUUGUUGUGUGCAAAGCACGGUUGAUGUUGAUAUUUCAGCCCCUCAACAGCAAGCUUCAUGUUGGCUACAUUGUCCAUGACAACAGUAGUGGCUUUCCUCUCUAUUCCCCAAGCUAUAAAAACUUUUUGGACAUUUGCAGCGAUGUUCCCUGAAGUGUGACUUGUCUCCAGCAACACUGUGUUCAGGACUCUUGAUGUCAGCUUCCAAUCAGGGGAGCCAAAAUGCACGGUCACUGUCAUGUAGGACAUGACCUACAUGAGCUCUUCUUUUUUCCCUGACGUCCGACAGUCUGUGGAGAUCGUGAGGUGGUCCAUUACGUCCAGCAGUCUGUGGAGAUCGUGAGGUGGUCCAUUACGUCCAUCUGUCUCCUCAGCUGACCCCUUUGUGCUCAUUAUUUUGUAGGCAGCAGUUGGGAGGACAAUGUUUUCCUGGUGACGAUCUCGUAGCGAUGGUCCAUCUUGUUCUUGAGGGGUCUUGCACUCAGCACACUUGUGGUUUGUUUCCUCGGCUCUCUUCUUUUUGCCUUGUGUGUCUGGGAGAGUUUCCCUGUAUCUUUUACGUUCUCUCCAAGGCUUUGAGCUGGUUAUGGUGAUGGAAAGAAGUUACAGGUACUGGAAUUCUUUGGUGAUGUCGAGAUGAAUCGAUGUUGGUUUGUUGACUUUUCGAUGCUGGACAAUGAGCCGGACGAUGACUGAUGUACUAUAUUUAUAUAUCUAAAUUACUAGAUAGCAAAAAUUCAGCUUACCUUCUUCAACUAGAUCUACAAAUGUACUAUUAAAUAGAUAGAGAAAGGCUUUAAAACAAAAACAAAAAAUAACAACAAAACAACUUUAUUUCUUCCGCAUGAUUAAAAUAAUGCAUAUCUUGUGAAAAAAUAUGUCCACUCGAGACAAUUAAAAUGUAAUUGACAUCAACUAUAAAUACUUUCCAAUUUGUCCACCCUGACACUUCACCAGAGUUUUUCUGCCUUUUUAGGGAAGGAAGGCAAUGAAGCUCUUGAUAAAAAAAAUUCUGCCAAACAAAGGAUGAAUACAUGUUCUAGUGUUUAAAAUUUUAAAAAAGGUAGAGUCUAGGGGGAUCAGGAUUUUGGUCCGUGGAGACUGCAUGUCAAGGGGGAGCCAGGAUUUUUGUGCACAGAGAUUAAUACCAUCUUGGUCUCCUUUGCCACUACCCUCACGAACUCUGCCCUCUUCUCUAACUGGACUGACCAUUUGUCCAAACUCUGUCUCCAUUUCCUCACUUCUACUUUCCUGUUGAGAACUAACGGCUGUGAUCAUUUCAUUUCCAUACUCCAAACAGUCCUCAAUUUCAAUCUACAUUGAAUAGAAGUCAAAAUAUUUUCGAUUGAAGGUCAGGGUUGCCUGGCUUCCUGCCAUUUUUCUAUCAGACCAAGAAGAACUCUCUAACGUCUUUCAAACACACUUUGUGCACAACGUGAUCCUACUGACACCAGCUCUCUACAUGGUUCUUUCAUUAUGUAACUGCAAGGUCGAAAAGACUGUACUUACCUUCUGAGUUAUAUACAAACACAAAAAUACUGAUGGGUCAAAUUGACUUCCACAUGGUGCUGAGCUUUUGGAUACAUAAAAACGACACAACGCAAGAUCAGUAUCUGGCAUUGUUUGUCUGACGGCUCCUAUCGUACUUGCUUCCUUAUUCACAGGCUUAACAAACAUACCAGUUGCAACAAUAUAAUCGUCAUAACACAAUACUCACUAUAACAUAUAAUCUCACCACAAUAUCUGUUUGAAAACUAGCAACACUCAGGAACAUUGUAGAGCGAUACAAAAAAAAAGCUACUGCACUCAAACUCACAUAACCGGAAGCCUUUUAGACCAGAUAUAAAUGCAUAGCAACGGCUGUGUCAAGGGCAUGUUCAGCGGCUGUGGGGGUUAAAUGGUUUUUGAAUUACGAGCGUAUUUUUGAAAAUCCAUCUUUGAACGAAUGUCUUAUAAUGAUUUGUGAACUAACACCCCCCCCCCCCCCUUUUUUUUUUUUAAAUUGCAGUUUUGCCUUUGAUGAGUUUGUGUAUAUAUGUAGACCCUACCAGCACUGAUAUAGUGGUUUCUGAAAUCACAGUAAUCAAUAGCUUUGACUUUCAGGAUCACUUUGCAUAUAAUUAUAUAUUAUGCAUUUGUUGGGUGAAUGAAGCCUGAAUGAAUUAUAAUUUUCAUCUUGAAUUUAGAAAUGUCAUCCCCGUUCAAAAUUUCACUUGAGUGACUGCCUUUCCUUAAAUUCUGUGAUCUGAACUAAAUUAUUUGAGGGUGUUAGGCUUAGCCUAGGGUGUUUCCGUGAGAUGCCAUCAUGGAUGCAAGAUGAUAAUAUCCUUGUUUAGGGAAAGAAAUGUCGUAGAUUGAUGUCUGUUCGUCCAGGAGUUUCUGUACAUUUCUGUCUGUAUGUUUGUAAUUUUUAUGUGUUAAAAGUUGAUGAUACGUUUUCUGAGAAAUGUUUUUCACCCUCCAUUUCACCAUGCUCUGUCAGAAGAUGUCUGAGAAGAGACAAACCAAGCAAGUAAAGGUCAUAGGGUACAGCCUGAUUAAUCUAACACUCGUAGCUGGCUAGUGAAGUAACAAGCCUAUACACCCCUCUCUCUGCUCAAUGGUAAUUUCCCUAGAGUCAUCUGCAACUUCUUCUAGCCGAUAAAAAUGCAGAAUAUUCGUGUUCAUAGAACCUUAUGCAGUUGCGAGCACCGUACAACUCUUACUAAACUUAAAAUGCAGAUAGUCCUUUAAGUAGUUUGCCUGUUCGUCAUAUUUCAUCUGCUUCAUGCUUGUUGCAAGUGACCUCAGUGAUGGGGAACUUUGCCUCUGUAUGGGGAGAAUUUGCAGGUCUUUUAGGAGAUCACCUCAUUUCGUGAUGUAGUUAUAUAUGAAUUACGAAACAGGUGUUUAUUCAAUUUGUUUUGUUUUUCUAGUUAGGUCGAUUUGUUAGCAACUUGGGUGGCAAAAGACUGAAGGAAUUUUACAGUUUCCCUUUUACCACGCAGAGUGGAGGUGGCUUAUCCCCUUCAGUGUUGAUGCACACAUUAGUAUUGUAAUACUUUCUUUGGAUGAGCUGCUUCUGGUGACGACUGUGGCAUCGGUAGCUUAGUGGACCGGUAAUCGUGAGAUUGCGUGUUGUGUCUUGGGAAGACACUUUACACCAAUAUCCCAUUUGGCUUGGUCCUUUCGGAGAUGGACGUUAAACUCGGAGGUCCCGCCUCUUAAAUAACCUAAUAUUGUUUAUAGGGGCGUUAAACUUGUACCAUUUCACCAGCUCGUCAUCCAUCCUCGCUUUUCCCUGGAAGAUUCAAAUAAUAGUGCAUUCGGGAGCUUCUUGGGUGGCCAAAGAUGGGCGGAUUUGACAGUUUUCCCUUUUACAACGCUGGGCGAAGGCUUCGUUUACCCUGCAGCGUUGAUGCGCACAGGCGUUGUUAUGUUAUACUUUCUUUGGAAGGGCUGCACUCGGCGACGAGGUGGUGUUGGUGACAUGUCUCUUGCAGACAAAUUAUGUCAUACUUUGUACAAUUACUGAAAAAAGUUUUUCUUUUUUUGUUCUUUUGUUUUUUUUGUUCAAAAAGGCCAAGACAAUUAAGGGAGGCCAUUCUAAUAGGCAUUCGAAACAGUCAGUCGCUAAACCAAUAUCAAAAUCCUUUAACAAGUCCAAGUCGUUACCAAUGGAUACCUAUACGUGUAUACACCAUUCACCCACUCACCAACCUCUUCUUGUACGCAAUUUUCGGUUUCCACAGACUCUUCAGAAUCAAAAUAAUCCACUGUGUCCUCCCUUCUUCUCGUGCCACUGCCACUCACUCCCUGCUUUCGCGCCUUGACACUCGGUGACCGAGCUGGCUCGUCGCUCACCUGCCUCUUGUUUCUCCUCGUGUUGACACUUCGGGACCUUUUGUCUUGGCUUCGGGGUGAGCGGACUGAGGGGCGGGAGCGGUCAGGCUGCGGGGGGAAAAAGUCCACGUUUGUUUGUUUUACGGCACGCAGGGUGUGUGUCUCCGCCUUUGUGUUUACCGCACGGAUCGACGGUUGACCAUGAGUGUCGGGGGCGGGCUGACUUCUGACCUUCACCGGCUGUGUUACUUCCAUUGGCACCUUUUUUUCUUGUCAUAGUGAUACAAAGUUGGUCUCCAAUAACACAAUAACAUCCCUGAAAAUCGUAGGAGGGGGGGGGGGCUCAAUGUAGACUAAACGUCUUCCGAACUUAGAUCUAAAUAAGGUUAACUUACCUGCAUUGUUCCUGAAGCAUUCCUCGUAAAUGUUCGAUCUUAUGGCACUGGCUCUUUUAAAUUUCUUCUCGAUUUCCUCGUUUGACACCGAUAACGGGAUGUUGCCUGCCAGUGAUGCCUUUCACAGAGGGGGAGUCCUUUGUGCCUUUUGUUACCGUCAGACUGGCGCUGAUGAUAGCGACCUGAUAACUUUUGUUUAUUGUCACACAUUUUGUUAUAAACUGGUUCCUUGCCUGAAUCGUAGCCGGAUAAUCCUCCACAGUCCGUACAGCUUCUGGGCUCCGACAAUACUGCCCUCACCCGCGACUUGCUCACGCUCUUUGCACGCGUGGUAGCCGGUGACAUUCAGGUCAAUGUGCUCUGCAAAAACAGAAACAGGCUGGAACGGAUUCAUUGUUAGACUUAGCCAUGGUGUUUACUGAGCAGCAAUGAAGUUAUUCGAAAACUCAAAGAUUAGCACAGGGAGAUAGAUGAGACUAGGACACCGAAAAGGGCAAGCGAGCGAGAGAGGGAGUGGUGAAGCUGUUGACUGAUUUAUCUCUGCAUUGUUUCUCUUAGGCCUGUGUGACAUUGUAUUCUUUUUUACACACCGCAUUCCUCGCCUGUUUGGCUUCUCUUUACUCAACACUUUUCUGUGUUCUGUAACUGACUGGUCUGGACUUAUUUGUGUCACAUCUUUCUUGCAUCAUAUAAACGAGCAAAGGCAGAACAAAAGUGUGCAUGCAUGUCUAAAUAUUGAAAAUGGAAGGUAUUGUUUGAUUAUGUACAUAAUAUGUAAAUAUGACAUAGUAAAUCAUGUAUUUAUUAAUGAUUUUGAUUUUUAAAAAAUUGAAAUUAAAAAUUUGUAAGAGAAAUUAAA
Aplysia californica (California sea hare) is the source of this 7345-nucleotide long non-coding RNA. RefSeq lists it as uncharacterized. Lineage: Eukaryota; Metazoa; Mollusca; Gastropoda; Aplysiida; Aplysiidae. The transcript is spliced from 2 exons. The record is from RefSeq and is a predicted model, not a curated record.